GACGAACGCUGGCGGCGUGCUUAACACAUGCAAGUCGAACGGAAAGACCCUGCUUUUGUGGGUUUCUCGAGUGGGGAGCGGGUGAGUAAAACGUGAGUAACAUGCCCUUGACUUUGUGAUAACUUUAGGAAACUGGGGCUCAUACCGGAUAGGAGCUCCUGCUGCAUGUGGGUCGAUGGUAAGUUUCGGCGGUGGGGGAUGGACUCGCGGCUUAUGAGCUUCUUGGUGGGGUAGUGGCGUACCACGGCUUUGACGGGUAGGCGGCAUGGGAGGGUGACCGGCGACCUGGGUACUGAGAUACGGCGCAGACUCCUACGGGAGGCAGCAGUGGGGAAUAUUGCACAAUGGGCGGAAGCGUGAGGCAGCAACGCCGCGUGCGGGAUGACGGCCUACUGGUUGUAAACCGCUUUCGCAUGUGACGAAGCGUGAGUGACGGUAAUGGGUAAAGAAGCACCGGCUAACUACGUG
This 468-nucleotide ribosomal RNA is filed under the name uncultured bacterium. RNAcentral describes it as "partial 16S ribosomal RNA". It matches the Rfam family "Bacterial small subunit ribosomal RNA", at positions 28 to 507 of the family's 1533-position model. The record is from RNAcentral.